RNAcentral lists this transfer RNA (76 nucleotides) under Campylobacteraceae bacterium. RNAcentral's name for it is "tRNA-Lys". It matches the Rfam family "tRNA". From Rfam's summary of the family: Transfer RNA (tRNA) molecules are approximately 80 nucleotides in length. Their secondary structure includes four short double-helical elements and three loops (D, anti-codon, and T loops). Lineage: Bacteria; Pseudomonadati; Campylobacterota; Epsilonproteobacteria; Campylobacterales; Campylobacteraceae. The record is from RNAcentral.
GGAUCGUUAGCUCAGAUGGUAGAGCAGUUGACUCUUAAUCAAUUGGUCGUAGGUUCGACCCCUACACGGUCCACCA